RNAcentral lists this ribosomal RNA (253 nucleotides) under uncultured bacterium. RNAcentral's name for it is "partial 16S ribosomal RNA". It matches the Rfam family "Bacterial small subunit ribosomal RNA", at positions 524 to 776 of the family's 1533-position model. The record is from RNAcentral.
UACGUAGGGGGCUAGCGUUGUCCGGAUUUAUUGGGCGUAAAGAGCGUGUAGGCGGCCAAGUAGGUCCGGUGUGAAAACUCGAGGCUUAACCUCGAGAUGUCAUCGGAAACCAUUUGGCUAGAGUCCGGAAGAGGAAAGUGGAAUUCCAGGUGUAGCGGUGAAAUGCGUAGAUAUCUGGAGGAACACCGGUGGCGAAGGCGGCAUCCUGGACCGGUAUUGACGCUGAGGCGCGAAAGCUAGGGGAGCAAACGGG